ACCUGCAUCAGAUGAUGAGAACAACCCUCCUAAAAAGGGAAAGGGUAGGGGAAGAGGCAGGGGAAAGUGAUCCCGGGUGCUGCUCAAAUGGCCUUUUGCAUUUCUGAUUGGCCAAAGGUUCUGUCAAUCAACUGUUGGGUUUCUUUCUACCUGUUCAUUCUUACAUGGAUCAAACUAUUUAAACUAAGGCUGUUUAUCCUGUUGUCAGUGAUUUGUAAAUAAAUAACUUGAAAUAAA
Coregonus clupeaformis (lake whitefish) is the source of this 237-nucleotide long non-coding RNA. RefSeq lists it as uncharacterized. The record is from RefSeq and is a predicted model, not a curated record. Lineage: Eukaryota; Metazoa; Chordata; Actinopteri; Salmoniformes; Salmonidae. The transcript has 3 exons.